AGUGCGCGGUGCCAAUAGCAAUACGGUACUGGCGCACGGCGCACGGGUGCGUAACACGUGGGUAAUCUGCCCUCUGAUGGGGAAUAACUCGCCGAAAGGCGAGCUAAUACCGCAUAACAUUCCUUGGACUCCGGUUUGAGGACUCAAAGCCGUAAGGCGUCGGAGGUGGAGCCCGCGCACGAUUAGCUAGUUGGUAGGGUAACGGCCUACCAAGGCUAUGAUCGUUAGCUGGUCUGAGAGGAUGGCCAGCCACACUGGAACUGAGACACGGUCCAGACUCCUACGGGAGGCAGCAGUGGGGAAUCUUGCGCAAUGGGCGAAAGCCUGACGCAGCGACGCCGCGUGGGGGAUGAAGCUUCUCGGAGUGUAAACCCCUUUCGACCGGGACGAAUACCUCGCAAGAGGGGUGACGGUACCGGUAUAAGAAGCCCCGGCUAACUACGUGCCAGCAGCCGCGGUAAGACGUAGGGGGCCAGCGUUGUUCGGAAUUACUGGGUGUAAAGGGUUCGUAGGCGGUGUGGCAAGUCGGGAGUGAAAUCUCUGGGCUCAACUCAGGGGCUGCUUCCGAAACUGCUGUGCUAGAGUGUGGGAGAGGCGCGUGGAAUUGCAGGUGUAGCGGUGAAAUGCGUAGAUAUCUGCAGGAACACCCGUGGCGAAAGCGGCGCGCUGGACCACUACUGACGCUGAGGAACGAAAGCUAGGGGAGCAAACAGGAUUAGAUACCCUGGUAGUCCUAGCCCUAAACGAUCAGGACUUGGGGUGCCACCCGUUCGGGUGUCGUCCCGGAGCUAACGCGUUAAGUCCUGCACCUGGGGAGUACGGUCGCAAGACUGAAACUCAAAGGAAUUGACGGGGGCCCGCACAAGCGGUGGAACAUG
RNAcentral lists this ribosomal RNA (878 nucleotides) under uncultured soil bacterium. RNAcentral's name for it is "bacterial SSU rRNA". It matches the Rfam family "Bacterial small subunit ribosomal RNA", at positions 65 to 941 of the family's 1533-position model. The record is from RNAcentral.